GUCUCAAACCUAAGAUUGUAGUGAUUGCUCCUUCGCCAAACGCUUAGUGUUUAGAAGUGAGAAGCACGAGUCUUUCGGAUAUGACCUUCAGAACGGAUGUCCCGUGUCGUGUCAGGCGUUGGCACAUGAAAGUUCUAGCCUGGUACCCGAGGCCUUCCGAUGUUCAAAGAACGAAGGCCAGGCAUCGGAUGUCGAAUGGAUUCUUCCACUGAUCAAAAUCCAAUAUGGCGGACUCAAUGAUGAAUUUCCAUACAUAUGGAAAGAAGAAACACAUGAUAGUAGAUGAAAAAACACCCUCAUAUAUAAUGCUUCAUGAAUAUGCAAAACCAUGCCAACAGACUCCAGAUGGAAAAAGACAUCGAGAAAGAAAUUCUAAAGGGGUAUUCAAGGACCCAUCCUCCUCCACACUAAUUCAUAUUGGAAGGAAUUAACAUCCAACUUGAAUGAAGAAUUACAAACUUCCAGAACAGACCCUUUAAAAAAGGAGAAGCCAGAUCUUCAGAAGACUUCCUUGAAAAUGAGAAUUUUUUGAGUGGAAGUGAAGAAUAUGGGAUGCAUACAAGCAGACAUCAGCAUUCCCUCCCUCUUGUUUGUAUCAGAGGUGAGCUUUUUGAGAAAGACUUAUGGAGGAAGUUUGAGAGUGUCCGUUCUCAAAUCAAGAAGUUAUCUAACAGUAGGAGGAGUAGUAAUUCAUUCCACUGUAUGGCCAGAGAAAUAUAUGACAUAAAAGACCCGAAAAAGGAGAUUUGGCAUUGUUUCAUGUGGAAAUUGAAGAAUCUUUGAAAUGGAUACAUGCAACACAGACAUGUUUCAGUUACUUGGGGAUAAAACUUAUGAGGAAUUUUGCUAACUUUCAGAUGGGAAUGUGUUGCACAAGAAAUGCUUGAUCACAACUUUCUUUUAUUAGAAACCUUUUCUAUGCAAAUAAUUAUUUUAAAUGAAAUUUAGCUAUUUCAUUAGACUAGUAAACAUGUUUUCUGUGCAAGUGUGUGUCUUUGACAUUAAAUGCUAUGAUAUAUUGAAGUAUUUUUAAACAAUGGAAGAUCUCUACUAGUUCUUUCAAAGGAAAGCCAACAACAGGAAUCGAACCUGUUCCUCCAUCGUACAGAUACGAAAGUGUGCACCAGUACACCAUGUUGGCAUAUAUUAAGAACUAGUAGCCUUGGAGAGUACAUAUUGUAUUAUUCUUGUACAGUUGAUACUGGUUGGUGUGAUAUAUAUAGAUGUAUAUAUAUAAUAUACAUACAGCUUAGUAUAAAUAAUGCAUGCCUCAUGUUUGCGAGUCGUCAAUAAAGCAUUUGAAUUGAA
This is a long non-coding RNA of Ostrea edulis (European flat oyster), 1308 nucleotides long. RefSeq lists it as uncharacterized. The record is from RefSeq and is a predicted model, not a curated record. The transcript is spliced from 5 exons. NCBI's taxonomy places the organism in Eukaryota, Metazoa, Mollusca, Bivalvia, Ostreida, Ostreidae.